UCCGGCUUAUCACCGGCAGUUUCUUUAGAGUGCCCAACUAAAUGGUAGCAACUAAAGACGAGGGUUGCGCUCGUUGCGGGACUUAACCCAACAUCUCACGACACGAGCUGACGACAGCCACGCAGCACCUGUCUCUGGGUUCCUUGCGGCACUCCCAAAUCUCUUCGGGAUUCCCAGGAUGUCAAGACCAGGUAAGGUUCUUCGCGUUGCGUCGAAUUAAACCACAUGCUCCACCGCUUGUGCGGGUCCCCGUCAAUUCCUUUGAGUUUCGACCUUGCGGCCGUACUCCCCAGGCGGUCUACUUCACGCGUUAGCUGCGUUACCAAGUUAAUUAAAACCCGACAACUAGUAGACAUCGUUUAGGGCGUGGACUAC
This 375-nucleotide unclassified non-coding RNA is filed under the name uncultured Gammaproteobacteria bacterium. RNAcentral describes it as "contains 16S-23S intergenic spacer region". The record is from RNAcentral. Lineage: Bacteria; Pseudomonadati; Pseudomonadota; Gammaproteobacteria.